This 263-nucleotide long non-coding RNA is filed under the name Volvox carteri. RNAcentral's name for it is "long non-coding RNA (VCAR_LNC000783)". Lineage: Eukaryota; Viridiplantae; Chlorophyta; Chlorophyceae; Chlamydomonadales; Volvocaceae. The record is from RNAcentral.
CAGCGCUUCUGCUGUGUGCUGUCGUUGAUCUACUCUGGCCAUGGAUCUUAGGGUUUUAGGGGAGAGCCUUGGAUUAUUUCUCCUGGUCUCUGAUAGUGGACGGGUUCCUCUACCUCCCCCAUCCCCGAUGUUUGUGGACUGUCAUCUGGAAUUUGAAGUCGAGGAAAUCCAUGGAUAGCCAUGUGGUAAAAAGCAAGGGUGGCAAACCCACUGCGUGUGGUGCCAAGCAGUUCUGACUCCUUCGGCGAUAAGGCUGGCUGCCA